Molecule: ribosomal RNA, 467 nt
Filed under: uncultured bacterium
Lineage: Bacteria
Description: partial 16S ribosomal RNA
Rfam family: Bacterial small subunit ribosomal RNA
Source: RNAcentral
GACGAACGCUGGCGGCGUGCUUAACACAUGCAAGUCGAACGGAAAGGCCCUGCUUUUGUGGGGUGCUCGAGUGGCGAACGGGUGAGUAACACGUGAGUAACCUGCCCUUGACUUUGGGAUAACUUCAGGAAACUGGGGCUAAUACAGGAUAGGAGCUCCUGCUGCAUGGUGGGGGUUGGAAAGUUUCGGCGGUUGGGGAUGGACUCGCGGCUUAUCAGCUUGUUGGUGGGGUAGUGGCUUACCAAGGCUUUGACGGGUAGCCGGCCUGAGAGGGUGACCGGCCACAUUGGGACUGAGAUACGGCCCAGACUCCUACGGGAGGCAGCAGUGGGGAAUAUUGCACAAUGGGCGGAAGCCUGAUGCAGCAACGCCGCGUGCGGGAUGACGGCCUUCGGGUUGUAAACCGCUUUCGCCUGUGACGAAGCGUGAGUGACGGUAAUGGGUAAAGAAGCACCGGCUAACUACGU